GUAGGUGAACCUGCGGAAGGAUCAUUAUUACAACAGUGUGGUUUCACAACUACAUUUAAACCAAAAUGUGCAACUGUAUCGGAAACGUUGGGGUUUUAUUUUAUUUGGCUUGAAGUUUCCCUGACGUUUCUUUGUUUUUUAUUCAAAACUUUAAAGCUUUAUUUUUAACCCAAUUUCACCUCGAUAUUCUUAGUAUGAACUUAACAUUUUCUCGAUUCGAAAGGAUCUACAGAAAAAAUCAUACGAAACUUAAGAACAACUCUUAACGACGGAUAUCUUGGCUCUC
This 286-nucleotide unclassified non-coding RNA is filed under the name rhizosphere metagenome. RNAcentral's name for it is "partial ribosomal RNA internal transcribed spacer region". The record is from RNAcentral.